GAUUGCGUAAUUUAUAAACAAGUAGUUGUUGGAUCCAAACUAACAAGCCAGCCAUGAUUUUCUUGUGCUGUAAACCAUAAUCAAAGUCAGCUCGGCUCGGUCGAUUUACACUCAUGAGUCAUAAUCCUAGCAAAAGGAAGAAUUCGAAAUCGGCUCAGUCCAUUUACACCUAUAAACCUAACAAAAGAAAGAGAGAAUUCAAAAUGAAUCCACACCUAAACAUGUAUAUUAUUCAAACGUUUGAUGUCUAUAUAACUAACCCCUGGCCUGUAUAUGGAUCUACCCUGACUCAGUACAUUAUUGUUCGAAACAAGAACGAUUAGCAGCCCAUUUGGGAAUGGAAAUAGGUUGCAACUUGGUUUGGUUAAUACUCAAGGUCCAGGCCCAUGGAGUUAGUAAUCUCCUCCUUACAAGGAUGACAGUGGCUUAGGGCAGAGGCAGAUUUUGAUAUUUGAUAUUGUCUUGUUGAUGGUGUUGAGAUGUGGGGUUGGAGUUGGACACACGGCGGCCAUCUUUGUUGUUAAGCUCCACUGUUAGUUUUUGCAGCAUGAAGCCAAUUCAUCUCCUGGUCCUUGCUGCUGGAAUGUCAGUAAUACUUUUAUUAAUCAUUGAAGCCGCUGAUGCCAGGAAGUUUGUAGUUGAUCAAGAGGUGAAAAAUUACUCCAACAACAUAUUUGGCAAUCAAUAUCAUUUUAUCCCAAGUACUACUACUACCACUAAACAUGGUGGUAAUCGUAUUCUGGAACAUGCCAUGACUGGUGUUUCCGGCAGUACUAGUUCAAAAGACGGACAUCAUAAUCGUUAACUACUGUUCGACUCUCUUCUCCUCUUCUCUUUGCUGUGUUGUUAUGGUUUAUAUAAAAGAAUCAAGUGUAGACAAGCUGCAGCAACAACAGUCGGAGAAUUUGACAUGGGGUUCCUAUUAUGCUAGCUAUUACGUUUGUCUUUUCAGUUGAAGGUUUGAACCAUCUUUGUAAUUGUAAUCUAGCUUUGGUCUGUAAUAGAGACUUUUGCGAGAUUUCGACCGGUAAGAGAGCACAUUAUCAGUCUUCUGAAUUCCAAUCAGACUAAGCAAAGACUUAAGUCUAU
Molecule: long non-coding RNA, 1089 nt
Organism: Tripterygium wilfordii
Lineage: Eukaryota; Viridiplantae; Streptophyta; Magnoliopsida; Celastrales; Celastraceae
Exons: 4
Source: RefSeq, a predicted model, not a curated record